CCAUAUGACGGUGAAUUCAUUCCCGGGCCUUGUACACACCGCCCGUCACACUAUGGGAGCUGGCCAUGACCCAAGUCAUUACCUUAACUGGAAGGAGGGGGAUGUCGAAGGCUGGGCUAGUCACUAGAGUGAAGUCGUAACAAGGUAGUCGUACUGGAAGGUGCAACUAGAUCACCUCCUUU
Molecule: non-coding RNA, 182 nt
Organism: Picea glauca (white spruce)
Lineage: Eukaryota; Viridiplantae; Streptophyta; Pinopsida; Pinales; Pinaceae
Source: Rfam